GCCUUCGUGGCACAACUGGUCAGCGCGUGAGACUUUUAUGUGACACUUCCUAAAGAAGGAAUCUCAAGGUUGCGAGUUCGAGCCUCGCCGAAGGCG
Transfer RNA from Pneumocystis murina B123, 96 nucleotides. It matches the Rfam family "tRNA". From Rfam's summary of the family: Transfer RNA (tRNA) molecules are approximately 80 nucleotides in length. Their secondary structure includes four short double-helical elements and three loops (D, anti-codon, and T loops). Lineage: Eukaryota; Fungi; Ascomycota; Pneumocystomycetes; Pneumocystales; Pneumocystaceae. The record is from Rfam.